UCAAAGAUUAAGCCAUGCAUGUCUAAGUAUAAGCAAUUUAUAUGUGUGAAACUGCGAAUGGCUCAUUAAAUCGGUUAUAAAGUAUUUGAUAGUGAAAGACUAUAUGGAUAGCCAUAGUAAUUCUAGAGCUAAUACAUGCGUAAAGGCCUGACUUUUAAGGGAAAGGCUGUGUUUAUUAGAUUGAAAACCAACGGCAGCUGUAAGUGGGGGCAACUCUUCUUAUGGUUGUAAAUUUUGGUGAGUCAUAAUAAAUGAGCGAAUCUUCGUUUUACGGAGAUGAAACAUUUCUAUUUCCGCUCUAUCAACUUUGGCGUUAAGGUAGUGGCUUAACGAAGUUUUGACGGAUAACGGAGAAUUAGGGUUCGAUUCCGGAGAGGGAGCCUGAGAAACGGCUACCACUUCUAAGGAAGGCAGCAGGCGCGAAAAUUACCCAAUCCCAAUUAUCUUGGGGAGGUAGUGACAAAAAAUAAUAAUGUAGGGAUUCGUCUCUGCAAUUGUAAUGGUCUGGACUCAAAACAUCCGGAGAGCAUCCAUUAGAGGGCAAGUCUGGUGCCAGCAGCCGCGGUAAUUCCAGCUCUAAUAGUGUAUACUAAAAUUGCUGCAGUUAAAAAGCUCGUAGUUGGAUUUUAGGCGGAGCUGUUUGUCAAUUUGGCUGGGGAUAUUUGUAUUGAUCUGAGGGGGGUUGUUCUUGAACUUAAAGACGACCUAAUAUUCCUUCAGUCAGGGUAUCCUUAAUUUUAAGUCAGUCAAUUUGAUUGUUUCGCCGGAAUUUUUUCGGGUUGAUUUUGUCCUCUUUAUUGAGCGGCAAGAUUGAUUCGGAGGGUUUACUUUGAAGAAAAUGGAGUGUUCAAAGCAGGCGUUUUUGCAGCUGAACACAUUAGCAUGGAAUAAUAAAACAAGACAUCGGCGGUUGUUUUCCUGUCGGCUAAGGUUCGUCUUUAAUUUGUUCUCAUUGUCUGAUUUUCAUUGUAUUUCCUACUUGUAGGAGUAUUUUGAAAGGAUUAUGAAAGGGGGCAAGUUAGGAUUUGAAAGGCCGGAUUUGGGGGCAAUCUACAGUAAUGUAUUCGUUUUGUUGGUUCAUGGAGUUGAUGUAAUGAUUAAUAGGAAUAGUCGGGGAUAUCCGUAUUGCAUUGUCAGAGGUGAAAUUCUUGGAUUUAUGCAAGACGAACUAGUGCGAAAGCAUUUAUCAAGGAUGUUUUCAUUAAUCAAGAACGAAAGUAAGGGGAUCGAAGACGAUCAGAAACCGUUGUAGUCCUUGCCAUAAACUAUACCGUCUAAGGAUCGGUGGUUGUCAUUUUUUAGGACUCCUCCGGCACUUUUAGAGAAAUCACAAGUCUCUGGGUUCUGGGGGGAGUAUGGUCGCAAGGCUGAAACUUAAAGAAAUUGACGGAAAGGGCACCACCAGGUGUGGAGCCUGCGGCUUAAUUUGACUCAACACGGGGAAACUUACCAGGUCCGGACGCGGGAAGGAUUGACAGAUUGAUAGCUCUUUCUUGAUUCCGUGGGUGGUGGUGCAUGGUCGUUCUUAGUUGGUGGAGUGAUUUGUCUGGUUAAUUCCGAUAACGAACGAGACCUCAACCUACUAAAUAGCCAGGCUUCAAGUUAAUUAAAUGGGGGAGGAGGUAGGAGGGCAACCUCUUAUUUUCUUUUCUGCUUGAGGCUAUAUAAAAUUAUGGUUUCUUCUUAGGGGGACUACCGUAUUUUUUUUAAACGGGGGAAGCAUGAGGCAAUAACAGGUCUGUGAUGCCCUUAGAUGUCCUGGACCGCACGCGCGCUACAAUGAUGCAGUCAGCGAGCUUGUCCUGUCCCGAAAGGGUUGGGUAAUCUUUUAAAACUGCAUCGUACUGGGGAUUGAUCUUUGUAAUUCUGGAUCAUGAACAAGGAAUACCUAGUAGGUACGGUUCAUCAGAUCGUGCCGAUUACGUCCCUGCCCUUUGUACACACCGCCCGUCGCUCCUACCGAUGAUUGUUCAGAUGAAAUGCUCGGAUUGUGCAGUUGUGGUCAUCUCGCGAUGGUCGCUUUUUGCUCUGGAGAAGAGCAGUGAAUCUUAACACUUAGA
This 2060-nucleotide ribosomal RNA is filed under the name Opisthomitus sp. CbOpi. RNAcentral's name for it is "partial small subunit ribosomal RNA". It matches the Rfam family "Eukaryotic small subunit ribosomal RNA". The record is from RNAcentral. Lineage: Eukaryota; Preaxostyla; Oxymonadida.